AAGUCGACGGUAACAUUGAUGCUUGCAUCAGAUGACGAGUGGCGCACGGGUGAGUAACGCGUAUACAAUCUACCUUUUACAGGGGGAUAGCCUUUAGAAAUGAAGAUUAAUAUCCCAUAGUAAGUAGUUUUGGCAUCAAGACAACUUUAAAGUUUCGGCGGUAAAAGAUGAGUAUGCGUUCUAUUAGUUAGUUGGUAAGGUAACGGCUUACCAAGACCACGAUAGAUAGGGGCCCUGAGAGGGGGAUCCCCCACACUGGUACUGAGACACGGACCAGACUCCUACGGGAGGCAGCAGUGAGGAAUAUUGGACAAUGGGCGCGAGCCUGAUCCAGCCAUGCCGCGUGCAGGAAGACUGCCCUAUGGGUUGUAAACUGCUUUUAUACAGGAAGAAACCUUUUCACGUGUGAAAAGCUGACGGUACUGUAAGAAUAAGGAUCGGCUAACUCCGUGCCAGCAGCCGCGGUAAUACGGAGGAUCCAAGCGUUAUCCGGAAUCAUUGGGUUUAAAGGGUCCGUAGGUGGAUAAUUAAGUCAGGGGUGAAAGUUUGCAGCUCAACUGUAAAAUUGCCUUUGAUACUGGUUAUCUUGAAUUAUUGUGAAGUGGUUAGAAUAUGUAGUGUAGCGGUGAAAUGCAUAGAUAUUACAUAGAAUACCAAUUGCGAAGGCAGAUCACUAACAAUAUAUUGACACUGAUGGACGAAAGCGUGGGGAGCGAACAGGAUUAGAUACCCUGGUAGUCCACGCCGUAAACGAUGGAUACUAGCUGUUCGGUUUUCGGACUGAGUGGCUAAGCGAAAGUGAUAAGUAUCCCACCUGGGGAGUACGUUCGCAAGAAUGAAACUCAAAGGAAUUGACGGGGGCCCGCACAAGCGGUGGAGCAUGU
RNAcentral lists this ribosomal RNA (884 nucleotides) under Winogradskyella sp. Its description in RNAcentral is "bacterial SSU rRNA". It matches the Rfam family "Bacterial small subunit ribosomal RNA", at positions 59 to 942 of the family's 1533-position model. Lineage: Bacteria; Pseudomonadati; Bacteroidota; Flavobacteriia; Flavobacteriales; Flavobacteriaceae. The record is from RNAcentral.